RNAcentral lists this ribosomal RNA (2003 nucleotides) under human gut metagenome. Its description in RNAcentral is "bacterial LSU rRNA". It matches the Rfam family "Bacterial large subunit ribosomal RNA", at positions 915 to 2925 of the family's 2925-position model. The record is from RNAcentral.
UGGAUGCGGGGGCUUCACCGCCUACCAAAUCCUGACAAACUCCGAAUGCCAGUAGAAUGAUUUAGAGCAGUGAGCGGCUGGGUGCUAAUGUCCGGCCACGAGAGAGGAACAACUCAGACCAGCAGCUAAGGCCCCGAAGAGUAUACUAAGUUGAACUAACGAUGUGCGACUGCAGCGACAGCUAGGAUGUUAGCUUGGAAGCAGCUAUUCAUUUAAAGAGUGCGUAACAGCUCACUAGUCGAGCGGUUGUGCGUGGAUAAUAAACGGGCAUCAAGUGUAUUGCCGAAGCUAUGGGAUCGAAAGAUCGGUAGGGGAGCAUUCCAUCGACGCAGAAGCCGGAUCGUAAGGUCCGGUGGAGUUUAUGGAAAAGCAAAUGUAGGCAUAAGUAACGAUAAUGGGGGCGAGAACCCCCCACGCCGCAAGACCAAGGAUUCCCCGGCAAUGUCAAUCAGCCGGGGGUCAGCCGGCCUCUAAGGCUCACCCGAAAGGGGAUGCCGACGAGAAACGGGUUAACAUUCCCGUGCUUCUCGUCACCGUGACGCGGUGACGGGGUGAUGAAUGGACCGCGCGCUGACGGAAUAGCGCGUUGAAGGCCGUACCCGAUGAGGGUGGUAGUCAAGCACGCCACCCGAGGCGAGAGCCGAUAGUACCACGAGACCCCGGUCGAGUGGAUAGCGUCCAGGCAAUUUACCCCCUAGAAAACCCGCUAAACUUCAAGUGACGAGGAACCGUACUGUAAACGGACACACGUGGUCGGGUAGAACAUACCAAGGCGCUCGAGUGAUUCAUGGUCAAGGAACUAGGCAAAAUAGUCCUGUAACCUCGGGAAAAAGGACGCUCUAGUGAUAGAGCCGCAGAGUAAUGGCCCAGGCGACUGUUUACCAAAAACACAUGGCUAUGCCAAAUCGAAAGAUGACGUAUAUGGCCUGACACCUGCCCGGUGCCGGAAGGUUAAGAGGAGAGCUCAUCGGAAACGAGAAGGUUUGAAUUGAAGCCCCGGUAAACGGCGGCCGUAACUAUAACGGUCCUAAGGUAGCGAAAUUCCUUGUCAGGUAAGUUCUGACCCGCACGAAUGGCGUAAUGAUUUGGGCACUGUCUCGACAGCCCGCCCGGCGAAAUUGUAGUACUGGUGAAGAUGCCAGUUACCCGCAACUAGACGGAAAGACCCCAUGGAGCUUUACUGCAGUUUAAUACUGGGAAUCGGUAAUGCAUGUACAGGAUAGGUGGGAGACUAGGAAGCAUGGUCGUCAGGUCAUGUGGAGUCACCGGUGGGAUACCACUCUUGUAUUGCUGAUUUCCUAACCUGCGGCCGUGAAUCCGGUCGGGGGACACUGUUAGACGGGCAGUUUGACUGGGGCGGUCGCCUCCAAAAGAGUAACGGAGGCGCUCAAAGGUUCGUUCAGCACGGACGGAAAUCGUGCAUUGAGUGUAAACGCAUAAACGAGCCUAACUGCGAGACCGACGGGUCGAGCAGUAACGAAAGUUGGAGUUAGUGAUCCGGUGGUAUGUGAGUGGAAAUGCCAUCGCUCAACGGAUAAAAGCUACCCUGGGGAUAACAGGCUGAUCUCCCCCAAGCGUCCACAGCGACGGGGAGGUUUGGCACCUCGAUGUCGGCUCGUCGCAUCCUGGGGCUGUAUUCGGUCCCAAGGGUUUGGCUGUUCGCCAAUUAAAGCGGCACGCGAGCUGGGUUCAGAACGUCGUGAGACAGUUCGGUCCCUAUCUGUUGCGGGCGUAAGAGAUUUGAAGGGAGCUGUCCUUAGUACGAGAGGACCGGGAUGGACGUACCUCUGGUGCAGCAGUUGUCCUGCCAAGGGCAUAGCUGGGUAGCUAUGUACGGACGAGAUAAACGCUGAAAGCAUCUAAGCGUGAAACUCCCCCUAAGAUGAGAUCUCUCAUCCUUUAUGGAGUAAGGGCCCAGAAAGACGAUCUGGUUGAUAGGCCGGAGGUGGAAGUGCAGUAAUGUAUGGAGCUGACCGGUACUAAUAGCCCGAGGGCUUGACCUA